AAGAGAAACGUAACACAGGGGCGUGCAUGGCUUGUCGUCAGCUCGUGUCGGGGAGAUGUUGGGUUAAGUCCCGCAACGAGCGCAACCCUUGUCAUUAGUUGCUACGAAAGGGCACUCUAAUGAGACUGCCGGUGACAAACCGGAGGAAAGGUGGGGAUGACGUCAAGUCCUCAUGGCCCUUAUAGGUGGGGCUACACCACGUCAUACAAUGGCUGGUACAAAGGGUUGCCAACCCGGCGAGGGGGGGCUAAUCCCCAUAAAAGCCAGUCGUAGUCCGGAUCGCAGGCCUGCAACUCGACUGCGUGUAGGUCGGGAAUCCGCUAGGAAAUCGGGGGAUCAGAAAGUUCACGGGGGAAAUACGUUCCCCGGGGUCUUUGUAACACACCCGGGCCCGUCACUACCAAUGGGAGCCGGGGUUCUUGCCAAAAAAGGUAGGUUAAGCCCUAAACCCGCCAAGGGGGGGGCGAAUUUUAC
This 474-nucleotide ribosomal RNA is filed under the name beta proteobacterium BAC154P. RNAcentral's name for it is "partial 16S ribosomal RNA". The stretch from base 1 to 369 matches the Rfam family "Bacterial small subunit ribosomal RNA", at positions 1020 to 1378 of the family's 1533-position model. Lineage: Bacteria; Pseudomonadati; Pseudomonadota; Betaproteobacteria. The record is from RNAcentral.